GCGUGUAAAAGCCAAACCCGUCGCGAGGUGGGGACGGAAAGCCACGGAUGUUGCCGCCAGGCAAGAUGGCCGGGUUGUCACC
RNAcentral lists this non-coding RNA (82 nucleotides) under Methylomonas sp. RNAcentral describes it as "c-di-GMP sequence". It matches the Rfam family "c-di-GMP-I riboswitch aptamer". From Rfam's summary of the family: GEMM was predicted in a large-scale screen for bacterial structured RNA regulatory elements. Genes associated with GEMM are involved in a diverse array of functions, including chemotaxis regulation, signal transduction, secretion and chitin. RNAcentral also lists the same sequence under 1 other name. The record is from RNAcentral. Lineage: Bacteria; Pseudomonadati; Pseudomonadota; Gammaproteobacteria; Methylococcales; Methylococcaceae.